This 468-nucleotide ribosomal RNA is filed under the name uncultured bacterium. Its description in RNAcentral is "partial 16S ribosomal RNA". It matches the Rfam family "Bacterial small subunit ribosomal RNA", at positions 28 to 507 of the family's 1533-position model. The record is from RNAcentral.
GACGAACGCUGGCGGCGUGCUUAACACAUGCAAGUCGAACGGAAAGGCCCUGCUUUUGUGGGGUGCUCGAGUGGCGAACGGGUGAGUAACACGUGAGUAACCUGCCCUUGACUUUGGGAUAACUUCAGGAAACUGGGGCUAAUACCGGAUAGGAGCUCCUGCUGCAUGGUGGGGGUUGGAAAGUUUCGGCGGGUGGGGAUGGACUCGCGGGUUAUCAGCUUGUUGGUGGGGUAGUGGCUUACCAAGGCUUUGACGGGUAGCAGGCCUGAGAGGGUGACCGGCCACAUUGGGACUGAGAUACGGACCAGACUCGUACGGGAGGCAGCAGUGGGGAAUAUUGCACAAUGGGCGGAAGCCUGAUGCAGCAACGCCGCGUGCGGGAUGACGGCCUUCGGGUUGUAAACCGCUUUCGCCUGUGACGAAGCGUGAGUGACGGUAAUGGGUAAAGAAGCACCGGCUAACUACGUG